This 1572-nucleotide ribosomal RNA is filed under the name Citrobacter koseri. Its description in RNAcentral is "partial 23S ribosomal RNA". It matches the Rfam family "Bacterial large subunit ribosomal RNA", at positions 589 to 2143 of the family's 2925-position model. The record is from RNAcentral. Lineage: Bacteria; Pseudomonadati; Pseudomonadota; Gammaproteobacteria; Enterobacterales; Enterobacteriaceae.
UGGGGUGACUGCGUACCUUUUGUAUAAUGGGUCAGCGACUUAUAUUCUGUAGCAAGGUUAACCGUAUAGGGGAGCCGAAGGGAAACCGAGUCUUAACUGGGCGUUAAGUUGCAGGGUAUAGACCCGAAACCCGGUGAUCUAGCCAUGGGCAGGUUGAAGGUUGGGUAACACUAACUGGAGGACCGAACCGACUAAUGUUGAAAAAUUAGCGGAUGACCUGUGGCUGGGGGUGAAAGGCCAAUCAAACCGGGAGAUAGCUGGUUCUCCCCGAAAGCUAUUUAGGUAGCGCCUCGUGAAUUCAUCUCCGGGGGUAGAGCACUGUUUCGGCUAGGGGGCCAUCCCGGCUUACCAACCCGAUGCAAACUGCGAAUACCGGAGAAUGUUAUCACGGGAGACACACGGCGGGUGCUAACGUCCGUCGUGAAGAGGGAAACAACCCAGACCGCCAGCUAAGGUCCCAAAGUCAUGGUUAAGUGGGAAACGAUGUGGGAAGGCCCAGACAGCCAGGAUGUUGGCUUAGAAGCAGCCAUCAUUUAAAGAAAGCGUAAUAGCUCACUGGUCGAGUCGGCCUGCGCGGAAGAUGUAACGGGGCUAAACCAUGCACCGAAGCUGCGGCAGCGACACUAUGUGUUGUUGGGUAGGGGAGCGUUCUGUAAGCCGUUGAAGGUGUGCUGUGAGGCAUGCUGGAGGUAUCAGAAGUGCGAAUGCUGACAUAAGUAACGAUAAAGCGGGUGAAAAGCCCGCUCGCCGGAAGACCAAGGGUUCCUGUCCAACGUUAAUCGGGGCAGGGUGAGUCGACCCCUAAGGCGAGGCCGAAAGGCGUAGUCGAUGGGAAACAGGUUAAUAUUCCUGUACUUGGUGUUACUGCGAAGGGGGGACGGAGAAGGCUAUGUCGGCCGGGCGACGGUUGUCCCGGUUUAAGCGUGUAGGUGUGUGCUCCAGGCAAAUCCGGUGCACUUUAACACUGAGGCGUGAUGACGAGGCACUACGGUGCUGAAGUGACAAAUGCCCUGCUUCCAGGAAAAGCCUCUAAGCAUCAGGUAACACGAAAUCGUACCCCAAACCGACACAGGUGGUCAGGUAGAGAAUACCAAGGCGCUUGAGAGAACUCGGGUGAAGGAACUAGGCAAAAUGGUGCCGUAACUUCGGGAGAAGGCACGCUGAUAUGUAGGUGAAGUGAUUUACUCAUGGAGCUGAAAUCAGUCGAAGAUACCAGCUGGCUGCAACUGUUUAUUAAAAACACAGCACUGUGCAAACACGAAAGUGGACGUAUACGGUGUGACGCCUGCCCGGUGCCGGAAGGUUAAUUGAUGGGGUUAUCCCUCGGGAGAAGCUCUUGAUCGAAGCCCCGGUAAACGGCGGCCGUAACUAUAACGGUCCUAAGGUAGCGAAAUUCCUUGUCGGGUAAGUUCCGACCUGCACGAAUGGCGUAAUGAUGGCCAGGCUGUCUCCACCCGAGACUCAGUGAAAUUGAACUCGCUGUGAAGAUGCAGUGUACCCGCGGCAAGACGGAAAGACCCCGUGAACCUUUACUAUAGCUUGACACUGAACACUGGUCCUUGAUGUGUAGGA